This 1372-nucleotide ribosomal RNA is filed under the name uncultured bacterium. Its description in RNAcentral is "bacterial SSU rRNA". It matches the Rfam family "Bacterial small subunit ribosomal RNA", at positions 28 to 1381 of the family's 1533-position model. The record is from RNAcentral.
GAUGAACGCUGGCGGCGUGCCUAAUACAUGCAAGUCGAGCGAACGGACGAGAAGCUUGCUUCUCUGAUGUUAGCGGCGGACGGGUGAGUAACACGUGGAUAACCUACCUAUAAGACUGGGAUAACUUCGGGCAACCGGAGCUAAUACCGGAUAGUAUUUUGAACCGCAUGGUUCAAAAGUAAAAGACGGUCUUGCUGUCACUUAUAGAUGGAUCCGCGCUGCAUUAGCUAGUUGGUAAGGUAACGGCUUACCAAGGCAACGAUGCAUAGCCGACCUGAGAGGGUGAUCGGCCACACUGGAACUGAGACACGGUCCAGACUCCUACGGGAGGCAGCAGUAGGGAAUCUUCCGCAAUGGGCGAAAGCCUGACGGAGCAACGCCGCGUGAGUGAUGAAGGUCUUCGGAUCGUAAAACUCUGUUAUUAGGGAAGAAUAUAUGUGUAAGUAACUGUGCACAUCUUGACGGUACCUAAUCAGAAAGCCACGGCUAACUACGUGCCAGCAGCCGCGGUAAUACGUAGGUGGCAAGCGUUAUCCGGAAUUAUUGGGCGUAAAGCGCGCGUAGGCGGUUUUUUAAGUCUGAUGUGAAAGCCCACGGCUCAACCGUGGAGGGUCAUUGGAAACUGGAAAACUUGAGUGCAGAAGAGGAAAGUGGAAUUCCAUGUGUAGCGGUGAAAUGCGCAGAGAUAUGGAGGAACACCAGUGGCGAAGGCGACUUUCUGGUCUGUAACUGACGCUGAUGUGCGAAAGCGUGGGGAUCAAACAGGAUUAGAUACCCUGGUAGUCCACGCCGUAAACGAUGAGUGCUAAGUGUUAGGGGGUUUCCGCCCCUUAGUGCUGCAGCUAACGCAUUAAGCACUCCGCCUGGGGAGUACGACCGCAAGGUUGAAACUCAAAGGAAUUGACGGGGACCCGCACAAGCGGUGGAGCAUGUGGUUUAAUUCGAAGCAACGCGAAGAACCUUACCAAAUCUUGACAUCCUUUGACAACUCUAGAGAUAGAGCCUUCCCCUUCGGGGGACAAAGUGACAGGUGGUGCAUGGUUGUCGUCAGCUCGUGUCGUGAGAUGUUGGGUUAAGUCCCGCAACGAGCGCAACCCUUAAGCUUAGUUGCCAUCAUUAAGUUGGGCACUCUAAGUUGACUGCCGGUGACAAACCGGAGGAGGGUGGGGAUGACGUCAAAUCAUCAUGCCCCUUAUGAUUUGGGCUACACACGUGCUACAAUGGACAAUACAAAGGGCAGCGAAACCGCGAGGUCAAGCAAAUCCCAUAAAGUUGUUCUCAGUUCGGAUUGUAGUCUGCAACUCGACUACAUGAAGCUGGAAUCGCUAGUAAUCGUAGAUCAGCAUGCUACGGUGAAUACGUUCCCGGGUCU